Molecule: ribosomal RNA, 450 nt
Filed under: uncultured bacterium
Lineage: Bacteria
Description: bacterial SSU rRNA
Rfam family: Bacterial small subunit ribosomal RNA
Source: RNAcentral
GUGGGGAAUAUUGGACAAUGGGCGCAAGCCUGAUCCAGCCAUGCCGCGUGUGUGAAGAAGGCCUUCGGGUUGUAAAGCACUUUCACUUGGGAAGAAAAGCUCACUGUUAAUAGCGGUGAGCCGUGACAUUACCUUGAGAAGAAGCACCGGCUAACUCCGUGCCAGCAGCCGCGGUAAUACGGAGGGUGCGAGCGUUAAUCGGAAUUACUGGGCGUAAAGCGCGCGUAGGCGGUUUGUUAAGUCAGCUGUGAAAGCCCCGGGCUCAACCUGGGAACUGCAGUUGAUACUGGCCGACUAGAGUACGAGAGAGGGAGGUAGAAUUCCAUGUGUAGCGGUGAAAUGCGUAGAUAUAUGGAGGAAUACCGGUGGCGAAGGCGGCCUCCUGGCUCGAUACUGACGCUGAGGUGCGAAAGCGUGGGGAUCAAACAGGAUUAGAUACCCCAGUAGUCC